CAGAUUAACCAGGGAAGUGAAUUUAACAGAGGUUAAAGCUAAAACAACAGAAUCUGGGUAAGUCUGUGUGAAGAGGUGUGGCUUUAGUGUGGAUUUGAAUAGUACACAAGUAGGCCUACGCUAUUUUUGGCCUAACUUUUUUUUAAGUGUUAUGUUUUCCCAGAUUCAUAGUGUUAUGCAGCCCAGGCCUAUCUAGGAAGGCUGGGCAUAAAUUGUUUGCUCACAGCAUCACAUGAUGACGUGGGCAACAUAAACACUUAAACUCUGUGGAUUAAAGUUAAUAGUAAUCAAAACUAAUUUCACCACGAAUGGAAGUGCAAUCGAAAUGAAUGAAGAAGACACGGUAAUUCUAGUGAGUUAAUAAAAUGACAAGGUGUUGCCUGUCAGCGUUGUAGACUACUGCCUCACAAGCCCGGGCUUUAGUGGCACUGGCAUACGCGCUUGCCUCUGCACUGAAGGAGCCACCGAACGCGUCCGCGCUGCAGCUCUCACUUUCUCCCGCUACAGUAUGUCCUACAAUGACAUAUUUGGUGGGGAUUGGCAGCCAACAAUAGGAUUGGAUUGGGACUAAAUCAAAGAAUAAAACGAUAUUGAAAUGAAUAUAAUUAACAAAUAUUGCCCAGAAGAUUUUGGGUUCAACCUAAGGCUGACUAGGACAGAUCAAUAAACUUGAUCCGACACAGUAAGUCUACAUGUCAUACUUAAGUAAACCCACAAGAGAGACAAUAUUGCAAAGGCAGGACCAUGUUCGAUGGAAGGCGUAGGGGUAGGCAAUCGAAAACGUUUGACGGGGAAAUGUCUCUCAAUAUUAGCUAGUCCUACUGAGUGGGCAAGUAACCUUUCCCGCGCUCUUCCUAAAAAUACUAUUUGUGAUGUCAUAAAGGUCUAACGUUCCAUGACGUAGCAUAUAGCCCUAAAUUACAGUCCCUGCCUGCAAUAUUGUCCUCACUCUUGACCUGAACUCAACUUGAAUGUAACCAACACAGACAAGGACAUGCUUUUUGAGAUAUAAAAUAGCUUGAAUGUAUGAAGAAAAGGUAAGCUAAAUGACUUCAUACAAUAUUGGGGGAAAGUAAAAUAGGGUAAAGCAAUCUAAGCGGAUAUUUCUUGUAAAAAGCUAUAACAUAUUGUAAAGCAAAUGUACCAUUCUUUAUAAAGUCACCAGCUUAGCUCUGAUAUGGCUGUAGCUCUAUUUAUGAUGUCCUCUGCACAGAUCUACUCUGACAUUGACAUAUUAUUACUUAUUGGAAUGUCUGUCCUUCAGGUAGCACAGAGGGAGGAUGGUGAUCCUCAGAGGGAAGGAAAGGAAGUUGUUGAGGAAGAACCGGUGGCCACGCCCAAAGAGGAGGCCAAGAAGGGAAGGAAGGCAAAAAGGAAGAGGAGUGGCAAGAAGUCAAGGAAGCUGGGCACUGACAACGAUGCAGUCUCCAGGAAUAAACACCUGGAUAGAGGAUCUGUAAUUGAGCUCCUGGAGAAGAAAGCUGUUAAGGCUGCAUUCGGCCCAGGCAACAAGGAUGAGAUGGAAUACUCCUACCCAAUCCUCAUCUCAUUCCUGCGCAAUCUUACUGAUGAGCAGUGGCAAGUGAUCUACAAAGGACUAAAAAACCCUAUGACGAAGGAACAGCUUGCCAAAUUGUGCAAGACAAUUGUAACCUUCAUCGCACAGACCACCCUGCAGAUCCUGCUGCCAGCCCUGGCCCGCGUACUUGGGGUAAAGGACUUUGCUGACGACGACACUGACUCACCCAAGAGGGGUGGUAGUGCAAGAUCCUUUGCUGCCUUUGAUCAGGAAAGACUGGAGCUCAUCCAGGAAGUUAGAUAUCUGGCGAAGAAAAUGUAUAAGGGCGGCACAGGGGCUCAACAUCUCAGGUCCCUAACACCCUCUUCUAAGAGUUCCCAGACCUCAGUGAAAGUCCACCUGGGAAUGACAGAGGACAGAAUCAUCAAAAGUGUCCAGGAGCAACUGUCUGAUCAUAAUAUCCUGUCCUCUUGCCCACCUGAGCUGACUGUUGGUCUUAUCAAGGUGGUGGUCGAACAGCUUAACUCUGCCCUCUCUGCGACCAUCAGCAGAGCCAUUUCAGGGCGGUCCUCCCCUAUUUCUUCUGGUACCCAGGCCGCUGAACAAAUGGUCAACAUGGUCCAGAAAUGUUUUGAUGAUCACACCACCCCAGAGGACCAGAGCUCUACCUCUGUAUUAGAGUCAUGCAUUCCACCUGCAACAGAAGAAGUGAUGACUGUUAUCGCAGAGAUGGUGGGUGAAUUGGAAAAAGAAGAUCCGGAAUUGGCUAAGGUUUUUCGAGAAGUGGCUGUGAAAGUUAAAAUGUUGGCAUCUGGCAGUGACCUUGUAGUGGAGCACCUGGAUGUUGAAGACUCUCCUGUUCCAGAGGAGCUGAACAUAAUAUGUACAUCUUGCAAAGCAAUGAUGCAAAAUCUUGGCACUCUGUUUAGUGUGAAGUUCAAGACCAAAGCCUCAAAGGCUGUGAGUGAAAUUCUUGUGAGAAGGUUAAUGAGCGAUAUCUCUGGUAUGGUUCAACCUUCUCAUUCGUUUAGUACCACUCCAAGCUUGAUGAAUGCAUCUAGCCCUUCUGACAGGAUCCUUGAUUCUGCGGCCACUGAGCUCAUACAGAUCAAAGUAGAAUCUGAGACAUCAAAAAUAAUUGAUAACUUUGUUGAAGAUGUCAAGGACAUUGUGCAGUAUGCUGAAUUAGAUCAGCCAACAAGCACCCAGAGAGAUACCCAAGUGGGACACUGUACGACAAAGCGGAAACCCUUCCGUGCAGCUCGUAGACUCUGCGAGAGACUUCAGGCAAAGCUGGAGACAUUGUUCCUCAGAAUGGGUGGAGCUCCAGUCCAAGGGGAAGAACUUAUGGAAAAAGCUGACUCCAGUGCUGUGCUUCUGGAGCAUACUGACUCCAGUGAUCUGCCUGUUUCAAUCCUGAGCUUGCCUUCCCCAUGUAGGAGUGAAUCCCCUAUAUCAGAACGUAGUUCAUCUUCUUUAUCUGAUGGAUGUGAUUCAACUGGCUCUGUAGGAGAGAAAACACCAGAGCAACCUGAAACCAGUAAGAGUGAGGCAAUACUGCAAGUGGUCAACUCAACAGGACUUGGUUCUCUCCGUAAAUGCCAAAGUGAGAACUCUCAACCAUUACUGUCUCUCUGUGAUUCCAACAUGGUGCCCUGCACCAAAGAGGUCUUGUCCCAGAUUGUGACCAUGUAUAGGUCAGAGGUGGCAGAUUUGGAAUGCACAUCAUCUGUUGCAGAGGGUUCCUCUUCCAACUCCCUUGAAGUCUGUGGCUUUUUGGACAGUGUCAUGUCUUAUCUAGAAGACAUGCCUGUGUCUGGUUCUUCAUGGGUGGAAGGAUUGAGAGAUACUCCAGCCUCAGUCAUUGAGAAACUCUCCAGUGAGGAGUUCCAGAUGAACGCUACCAACGAAGUGCGAAAAAUACUGAUCAAAUCAGUCAGUAGCUCUCCCAGCAAAGUCAGUUCCAGCCAGACAGAUUCUCAGAUGUUGCCAGCAAAAUCAACAAUUUCCUUAAGGCAUACAGAUAUAACUGCUUUUGAAAUCGUUGGAUCAAUUACAAAUGACAUGAAGAGCCUUUUCCCACCCACAGAGUCUUCUACUACUCUAUGGCAGGCAGACUCUAUGCUUCAACAGAGUGAUGAGAAAACCUCAGAGUACACUGAGGCCACACCCAAAGGCUCACAGUCUGGUUUGGAAGUAUCUGAGAAGAAGAUCUGGACAACUGCAAAGACUAUUUACCACAAUGUGAAGACAAAGAUGAGGAAUUAUUUUACAUGGCAAAAUCAAGUCAAAGCAACAACGGCUCAAGCCAAAAAGACCCUCAGCCAUAUUCUGGUUUCAAUUCAGAAAGAGCUGUCAAAAUCUGACCAAACGGUGACUGCGCUUUCACAAAUAGAGAAUGUGGUUGGAAUGAUGCUGAAGGAUGUUGAAAGGGUAAGCAGUGAAUGUGGUGAGGAACUGAUCUAUCAAGCGCCACAGCGUUCUUCCUCCUCGUUGUCAUCCUCAUCUGCCAGAUCAAAGAAGUCAGAGUGGGAAUUUUCACUCCCUGGCACUCCCAUCUCUUCUGAUUUACCAGAGUGUAUUACUCAGCCCAUUGUGAGAUGCUCAGUCAUCGACAUGGGCAAAUCUACUAAGCCAAAAACAUUGGUGUGUGAUGCCAGGGAAAGCAUGUCUGCAAUAGUGGAUACCAUCAUAAAGGAGGUACAUCCAGAGGAAGAAGGGGAGGUUGCAUUCCACCCUGAUCUAACAGCUGCAAUAGCAAGACUGGAGGAGCUCAUAUCUCAGGGUAGGAUUGGUGCUCUCUCACGUGAUCUUACUCACCAAGUCAACCGCAUCAUUUCUGAGAGCAACUUGACCCCUCUGGUUCUGACAGUGGCGGCUGGAAAGAGUGCAUCCGAUACAGUCCUUACUGAGCUGAAGAGGAAUGACAAGACGGUGGGGAAGCCCACAGCUUACAAGCUGGUUCAGCUUUUUGCAGAGGAGUCUGUGAAGCGCCUCUUGCUUCCUAGCCUUGUGCCCUCUACAGCUUCAAUGAGUUUGGCUCAGGGAGUUAGUGUGCCGGCUAGCGUAUCUGAAGAUAGGAUUUCAUGUUCUUUUUCUACAUCAGCAUUUAGUGACACAGUCAGCCUGUUUACCAAAGUAAUGGUAAGCCAGGUCAUGGACUCUGUGGUUUCUGAUGCACAAAGCAGAGGGUCAUCUCCAACCGGAACUGUAACUGAUAUAGGCAGUCUACUGAGUGGUAAGUCCUACCCUCUGCCAUCUUUCUCCGCCAUCAGCAUGACAACAAGUGGGACCUCCAAUGCUGCACGAGGCUUUGAGGCCAACAUAGAUGCUGAGGAAAGGGAUACCAUCAGUUGUUUCGGUGUACCUCAGAGCAUUGUUUGUGAUCAGAAUUCAACCAGCCCGGAUGUUGCCUCGCUUUCAACCCCAUCCACUGACAACUUAGUCGGUGAUGAUGACUUCACCGGCCUCAUCAGCAUGUUAGUGGUGAGACUUCUGUCAAAAAUCCAAACCCAAACUGAUCUGUACCCAACUGACGUCACACGCACGUCACAAGACCUGAUUCCAAAAGUUAUAGCUGCCUUCUGUGCAUGGUCAGGCUGCUCUGAGACCCAAGCUUAUCCCAAGAACCUGAAGAGUCACAAAGUAUACAGCACCGUCUACAAACAUCUGUUGAAGGAGUUUGGCUCAGAGAAAAUACUCCAACUGGCCGUGUCGACUCAGGACUCCACAUUCAAUAGGAUUCUUGUGAAGUCAUUGAGCAAGGAGCUUCUCCACAGUUGUAACGAGGCAUCAAGAGCAGCCUCAAGAACAUCUUUCGAAGCCACCAGGCCAGAAGCUCUUCUCAUGGCUGAAGAUGUGAAGGCUACCAGAGGGAAGCUGUCUUUCCUACAAAGGCUUGCCAGACUGAAAUUCGACUUAAAGCCAUUCAUGAUGGGAAACAAGAAGGAUUCCAAGAAGAAUUCCCGCCAUUCUGAAUCCAAAGACCAGACUACUGCUGAAGAUAUCAUAUUGGCACAUCCUGGACUCCCAGAGGGUCUUCCCUCCACCUCUCAACAGGAGAAGCCUCGCAAACGUCCCCUUCUAAUCAGGAUGUUUUCCACCAUCUCCAUAGGCCUAUCCAAGCCAUUCAAACGGUUUUCAAAGCAAGCUUAAUACAACAAUUUCCUUUAAUACAGUAAUAUUUGCAUUGAAUUGAUGGCCUUUGUCUUCUUUUGUGUUGCCCUGUUAACACAUUUGAUUAGAAAAUACAUAGUAUAUUUAGUUUAGUUUAUUAUGCAGUCAUAGUCACGGUGUAGGCUAAACAAAGUAAUGUUGUCCUGAAUAAUGUAUAUAACAUGCACCCCCCACCCACCCACCCACACAAAGUGUGAUUCAUUGAACACACACACAUAGUACUUCAGAUAUGUCCCACAACCAACAUUCAACCAGAUAUCAAUGAUUCAGUGUAAAAUACAUGUACUGUAAAAUAAACCGUAUUUAAUUUACAACCAAUAAAAUUAUACAUGAUGCAGGACACUCAGUUAUAAGGGAAUUAAUUGGUUUAACUUCUCAAACAGAAAGACACACUGUAACUGACAGUUAGACUUACAGGUUAUGUCGUUGUCUUUUGUUUGAAUUGUUUACGUAUCCGCUGUGCGGGGGAAAUGAUAAUACAAUCGGAACUACGUAGCCAAUACUGUUGUAACGGGGAUCCUUAUUGUAGCAACACACUUUUGGAGGGAAGGAAAUCCUGCGCUGCGUUAGCUAAGUUUUCAUGUCAUCGGGUGUAGUUCAUAAAGGUUGAAGAGUGUAUGUUAGGAUGAAGUGUGAAUUCAUGCCAGGAAUAAUAAGUGUGAAGUUUGAUUUCCUCCCUUCUGUAAUAAGCAGCCAAUGAGGUAUUUUUUCCUUUAUUCAUGUGUUUAAUCUGAACCCGUAAUAACGCCGGUUAAACUGUUAUGUAUGUAAGCACUUCAGAGUUAUACCAAGCUAAUAAGUCACUCGUAAGAUAAGGUUGUAAGAGUGUGCUUAACUGUAUUUUUAAUUGACUUUAUAAUUCUCACGGAAGGUGAUAAUUCUGACUAAAACUACAGAAUAAAGCCGCCAGUUAAAAUCAAGGAACGGUUGUGCUCGUGGUUACUGAAGGGAGCUACAGUGAGAACUCAAUGCUCUUCACGAGCAAGAGAGAAAGAAGAAUCUCAUCCAGCUGUAAAACGUCUACAUGAUUCCCAAAUCCUGGUAGACCCAGUCAUCUGCCAGAUAAGAGUUUUGCACCUACCUGCAAACUAAGAAGAAAAUCUCCACAUAAGGAAGCAUCGUGAGGCAACAUAAGGUCAAGACUAACAGGAAAGUCAGACACGCAAGUACAAGUCAAGGUGUUUGGAGGUGGUCCUAGCCUUGUGAACAGCUAAUAAGAGACUUUAAGAUUACAAUUCGUAAGGACUGGAGAUAGUUGUCUAUUUCAUAAAGACUCUGGUAUUAUGCAUUUGCUCUUUCUAUCUUAAUGUAUCGCUGGUAUGUGUAUUACUGGAAAAAUAUGAUUUGAUACUUACUAAAAAUAUAUAUAUAGUUACAAACAUUAAGGGUCAGCGUACACCUAUUAAUUCUAUUUUCACCUGUAAGUUAAUAGUGUAAUUGUUUGGGAAGGUGUUUGUUCAAGCCUUUGUUACAAGCAUUAUACAUGUUUAUACCACGUACUAAGGUUUAAAUUACAGUGAAUUGGAGUAUAAAUUAUCUACUCACUUAUCCAAACCUUACCUAGAUUUGAUUUGAUUUGAUUUAAAAUGUCAGAAAGAGGUAGUUUCACUAAAGUUGAUAGAGAUGGGGUGGGUCAAGUUGAGCAGCAGCUGCAACACCUCGCAAACUUCAGGCCUUCAUCAGAACAAACAGAGCAGCAGGAAGAGACCCAGACUGGUGUGGAGUCAUGGCUGCCAGCGAAUGAUGAUACAGAGGCUGCUAAUGAGACAUCACAACAUGAGCCACGAAAAGGUGAGAGGGUCCGCAGGUUAACUGAAAAGGGCAGAGAACUGCGCAACGAAAGGUGGAGACAGCUCAAACAUCAUUUCAGGGUCAGCUAUGAGAAGUGGAAGGCUCUGGUAAAGGAAGCAAAACUGUCACUGACAGCCUGUUGCUCUGAAGAUCUACUAGAAGACCUCUUAAACAAGAUUAGCCAUACCUCUACAGAGCUAAACCUUGUCUAUGUAAAUGUGCGUCAAAUCUACAUACCCGACAACAAUAUACGCCGCAGAGUUGAUACUUGUGAAGCAGUUACAAUGUCUAUUAUCAAGACUGUAAGGUGUCAUUUAAAAGGCAGGGAAGAAGGUCAAAGUAACCAGAUAAAGCUGCACUGGAAGGACAGCAAUUCCUUGUGCAUGUCCGAACUCUCACAUAAGUCAAGUCUCAACUAUCAGCCCUCAAGUGCUUCCUCCCAGUCUCAAAGCAAUUCAAAGGUCAACUCCAGAUGCUCAAGCGUGUCAUCUGUCAAGAGACAAGAGGCUGCGGCGGAAGUUGCUGCUAACCAAGCAGCUUUAGAAGUAAUGGUUAAGCAAGAACGCCAACUAGAAGAGCUUCAGAGACUUGAAGAUGAAGAUAAGAAGAGGACAGCUGAGCAAGAAGCCGAGGCUGUGAAACGCAGCUUAGAAGAAGCUAGGCUGCGAGUCAAGUUAGAGGUAGAAAAUGCUGCCAGACGAAGGACGCUAGAAGACAAGCAUAGAGAGUUAGAGCGCCUAGAAGUGCUCAAGAAACUAAAUGCUGCCAAGGCGCGGAUGCAAGUGUAUGAGCAAGAUGAAAACUCAGAGGACGAGAAGAGAGAACUACUCUCUAACUGCAAAUCUGUGAAAGAAAUCGUGCACAGAAGUGGCUCAUUUCACAGUCUCUCACCACAACAUGUUGUGACAAACACACAACAAGAAGAUGGCACCAAGACCAUGUUCAGGUUACUAGCGGAAUCAAUCAGUGAAAGCCGCCUCCCCAUACCAGAACCAGUAACAUUCAAUGGAGAGCCUCUCUCAUACACUGACUGGAAGGUCUCUUUUCAGACUCUGAUAGACAGGAAGAACAUACCAGCAACUGAGAAGAUAUAUUACUUAAGAAAAUAUGUCGGUGGGCCUGCCAAGAAAGCCAUCGAAAGUUACUUUAUGUUAGGAACAGAAUCAGCCUACCAUGCUGCUUGGACCAUUCUUGAAGAAAGGUACGGAAACAAAUUCUUCAUCGCCAAGUCUUUCAGAGAUAAGCUCAAUGCAUGGCCUACGAUAGGAUCCAAGGACAGUCUUGAACUUAGAGACCUUGUAGACUUUCUUCGCAGCUGUGAAGCUGCUAUGUCUCAGAAUAAGGGCCUGGAGGUGCUUAAUGACUGUAAUGAAAACCAAAAGAUCCUCACUAAACUUCCAGAUUGGCUAACUUCAAGAUGGAAUAGAAAGGUCACAGACAUCUUAGAAGAAACUGAGAUCUUUCCUAGCUUCAGUCAGUUUGUGAAGUUUCUCACGAGAGAAGCCAAGAUUGCUUGCAAUCCUGUAACAUCCCUUCAUGCUUUGAAACCAAGUGAAGAUGGAAAACUUAAGACGCCAAGGAUUCAAAGCCCCGGAGCAAGGGUAUUAGCAACUAACUCUGAUGAGAAAGAUACUGUUACUAGUUGUGUCUUCUGUGAGAAGUCAGGUCACAGUCUCCACAAAUGCUGGAAGUUCAUGGAUAAGCCCACCGCAGAGCGACAGAACUCUGUUCAAGAGAAUAAAUUGUGCUUUGGCUGUUUAAGGCCUGGGCAUCGCUCGAAAGAUUGUGAUAACAGGAACACCUGCGACACGUGUCAGAGGAGGCAUCCAUCCUGCCUGCACGAAGAUCGUACUGAAGAAAGGUUCAGGGAUAGGAAGACAGAGCCCCCACGAGAUAAGGGGACAAGAGCGUCAAGUGAGGCCAUAUCUAACAGAGUCGUAAGGGACAUUAACAACACUCACACCUCCACAAUCAUUCCAGUAUGGGUGUCAACCACAAGUGAGCCAGAUCGUGAAGUUCUUGUGUAUGCACUUCUUGACACCCAGAGCGACACCACCUUUAUCCUUGAAGAGACAACAAAGGCUCUCAAUACAAGGAAGGAGCCAGUCCAACUGAAACUCUCUACAAUGGCUUCAAGGAAUACCAUUGUGCCCUGCCAGAAGCUGUCUGGUUUGCAGGUUAGAGGGUUUUACUUGGAGAAGAAAAUCCCUCUGCCAACGACCUACUCGAGAGAGUUUAUUCCUGCAAACAGAGAUCAUAUUCCUACUCCAGAGACUGCAAGAGCAUGGUCUCAUCUUGAACACAUUGCAGAGGAGAUUGCUCCUCAACAGAGCUGUGAUGUCGGUCUCUUAAUUGGCUACAACUGCUCCCAGGCGACGCUAUUGGAGUGAGUCAUCGGGUUAUCGUUAGACAGGUGAUGCCAAGCCUUCAAUCUUCUUUCAACCUCACAAAUCAAGUACACUAUGUUUGUAGAACACGUGUAAGAGAGGUAAUCACAGCACUGGACAUUAUCAAGACGCUUGAAUCUGACUUCAACAAGAGAGCUGCAGAAGAGGACCUCAUAUCUCAAGAGGAUAUCCGGUUCCUGACGAAAAUGAAAGUGGGCAUCAGACGCAAGGACAAUGGACAUUAUGAGAUGCCGCUGCCGUUUAAGGAAGAAAGACCCAACCUGCCGAACAAUAAAACAUGUGCAGUUCACCGUCUCAAGUGCCUGGAAAGGAGGCUAAGGAGAGACAAGCAGUACUACAAGGACUACACAGCAUUCAUGGAAGAGACCAUAGCUUGUGGAGAUGCUGAGAAGGUCUCCAAAGAGGAAGUUAACCAGCAUCCAGCAUGGUACAUCCCGCACCAUGGGGUUUAUCACCCACAAAAGCCUGGGAAGAUACGCGUCGUCUGCGACUGCUCAGCUAAGUUUCGAGAGACGUCCUUGAAUGACCAUCUCCUUACUGGUCCAGAGUUGACAAACACAUUGCUGGGUGUCCUUUGUCGUUUUUGUAAGGGUCCAGUUGCAAUCAUGUGUGACGUAGAGCGCAUGUUCCACCAGUUUCAUGGGAAAGCAGAAGACCAAGAUUAUCUACGGUUCCUUUGGUGGGAGAACGGAGAUCUAGAGUCUCAACCCUCAGUGUAUCGUAUGAAGGCCCACUUGUUCGGCGCAGCUUCAUCUCCUGGUUGCGCCAACUAUGGUCUCAAACAUCUUGCUGCCGAAGGACGAGGAAGCUUCAGCGAGAAGUCUAUCCAGUUCAUAGAAAGGAACUUUUAUGUUGAUGAUGGGUUGACGAGCGUAUCGUCUGAAGCUGAGGCGGCCCAGCUGGUGAAAGAAGCAAGAGAGCUUUGCAGCAUCGGCAAACUUCGGUUGCACAAGUUUAUCUCUAACAGCAAGGAAGUUAUAGCCACAGUUCCCAAGGAAGAAUGUGCCGAGGGUGCCAAAGACCUGGAUAUGGCUCUGGGUGAACCACACAUGGAGAGAGCGCUUGGUGUACUGUGGUGUGUCGCAUCAGACGAGUUCCAGUUUAGAGUAGUUGUCAAGGAACGCUCACUCACAAGAAGAGGAGUGUUGUCUACUGUAGCCUCUGUAUAUGAUCCGCUUGGGUUUGUGGCAACCUUUGUCCUGGCAGGGAAGCAGAUCUUGCAGCGGAUGUGUCGUGACAAAAUCGACUGGGAUGACCCCCUUCCAGAUGACCUACAUUCCCAGUGGGAAUUCUGGCUCCAAGGUCUACAAAACUUGUCUGAAGUAAUGAUCCAACGAGGUUAUUUGCCAUCAAGUUUCAAGGAGGUGCAGAGUUAUGAGCUCCAUCACUUCUCCGACGCUAGUACCUCAUGUUAUGGAGAGUGCUCAUACCUCAGAACAAUCAACACUGACAGAAAUGGAAUAAAGACAGAAGAAACGCAAGGAUUAAUGACAUUGUCAUUUUGCAAGAUGAUACUGCACCACGCAACCAGUGGAAAUUGGCAAAGGUUACAGAAGUAUACCCGGGACAGGAUGGUCGGGUGAGAAGAUUCAAGUUACUGAUCAGCGACUCAACCCUAGAUGAGAGAGGUAAACGCAUCACCAAACCCACCUAUCUGGAGAGGCCCAUCCAUAAGACAGUCACCCUCCUGGAAGCCGAUUAAGAAACCUGCAGACCCCUUUCACAGAAAUCACCGGUGAUUGGUGGGAGUGUAACUGACAGUUAGACUUACAGGUUAUGUCGUUGUCUUUUGUUUGAAUUGUUUACGUAUCCGCUGUGUGGGGGAAAUUAUAAUACAAUCGGAACUACGUAGCUAAUACUGAUUUCCUCCCUUCUGUAAUAAGCAGCCAAUGAGCUUUUACCUUCGACAUCAACAAGCGGCGCACGGGCUGGUCCUGCAGACUCCCACGCCCAUGGCCCAGGAGAAGGCAGGGGGCCACCUGCUCACUCACGUCCCAGCCAUCUCCUUUGAGACCGACUCUACUGUGGAGUGCACCUCCAAGAGGACUCCGGAAGAGAGGGACCGGGUGAAGGUUAAACUGGCCAACAUGGCCUUGAUGGGAAGGAUCAAAAAGUCUUGGCUGUGAAAUGCCCAUUAUGUGUGAUUAUCGAAUUGAUCAUUUUCCACUUUUGAAACAACAAUGGGAAAGACAGGGUUUAUAGCAAAGGUUGCUCAGAUUGGGCUUUUGGAAAAAUUGAGAGAAUGAAAGUGCACUCCUGAUUCAGAGAGAAAGAUCCAGCUUAAUCAUCCAUACCAUUGUUUAAAUUACAAU
Oncorhynchus kisutch (coho salmon) is the source of this 12206-nucleotide RNA transcript. RefSeq lists it as uncharacterized. The record is from RefSeq and is a predicted model, not a curated record. Lineage: Eukaryota; Metazoa; Chordata; Actinopteri; Salmoniformes; Salmonidae. The transcript has 9 exons.